CAGAUUUAUUUCUUCUUGCCUAGAGACCAUUAUGAUAAUGCAGCAGGGCCACCAGUCAGUUUCAGAUAAUGAUGUCAACCCCGGCCACCAAGAAGUAACCUUGUCUCCACUAGACAGAGCAGGUUGCAGGAAUUUAGCCAAUUCAGAGGUCUUGUUCUCCAUAAUUUGGAAUUUUCCUUCGGAUUUGAUCAAGUUGGAUAGAGUUGGUCAAACCCAAUGGGAAAAAGAUGAAAACAACAAGAAACAGAAACAAACAGCAACAACAACAACAACAAAAACAAUGCAUUUAAUUAAAUGAAGAUGAGCUCAUGCUGGAGUAGGGUGGACUCUGAACCCAGUGGGACAAGCGUCCUUAUUAAGAAGAGGGAAAUCUGGACACACACAGAGCAGAGACCGCCGUGUGAAGAUGGAGGCAGAGAUCGGAGAGAUGCUGCCACACGCCACAAAUGCCUGGGGCUCCCAGAAACUACACGGAGCCUCCCCCAGCGGCUUCAGCAGGAGCAUGGCUCGGCCAACACUUUGAUCUUGGUCUUCCAGCCUCCAGAACGGUGAGUCGUUUUCCUAAAAUUCCCUUUUCCACUGGUGUGUGGUGCAAGAUGAGGCACAUUUUCCAUGGAUGGUGAACAGAGGGAGGAGCCUUUUGAUCACAACCAGGUCACCCCACUUCUAAGCCACUGUGCCUCCAGCCCCACAAGACUAAGGAGAGAGAGCGCAGCGUGGUGGAGAGUGAGCUGUGCUGGGACCAUUGUUUCCGUAACCUCGUUUUCUGUGUCCAGCUGACACACCUUCAAAGUGGCAUCAGGUCCUAAACUGUAGCUUGCAAUGUGCCUGUUUCCAGAAACCAAGGUGAAAGUGCUUUUAGACAGUGUUCCCAUGCAAGAGUCCCUUCCCAGCUUUUUUCUGGAAAUGCAUGUUUCUCUGAACUCUGAGUCCCAAGAAAAAUCACUUGAGACACCAAGAAAAUGGGGGAAGUGCUAAAAUUGUGUGGGAAUUCAAGCUUAACAAUAAACAUCAAGACAUUUUUGAUAAAAAUGAAUCCACUGACAUCGGGGAGGAGCAAGAGAACAGCACGCUGACACUGGGUCAGAGGCUAAGACCGACAUUUCUGGGAACCACUCCCGGA
This 1123-nucleotide long non-coding RNA is filed under the name Homo sapiens (human). Its description in RNAcentral is "non-protein coding lnc-GGCT-1:88". The record is from RNAcentral. Lineage: Eukaryota; Metazoa; Chordata; Mammalia; Primates; Hominidae.